AUGCUAGAUUAUUUGGAAGUCUUUUAUAUACUUAGACAAAAAACAUUCAAAAGAUGCAGGGACCGCUGGCGCGUGUCCCUGGACGUAAUCCUAUUCGCCCCCGAGGAGCUGACGGUCAAGACCAAGGAGGGCGUGGUGGAGAUCACCGGCAAGCAUGAGGAGCGGCAGGAUGAGCACGGAUUCAUCUCCCGCUGCUUCACCCGGAAAUACACACUGUCCCCUGGUGUGGACCCCACCCAGGUCUCCUCCUCCCUGUCCCCUGAAGGCACACUGACCGUGGAGGCCCCCCAUGCCCAAGCCAGCCACGCAGUCCAACGAGAUCACCAUCCCUGUCACCUUCGAGUCGCGGGCCCAGCUUGGG
RNA transcript from Sapajus apella (tufted capuchin), 361 nucleotides. It is a transcript of the gene named heat shock protein beta-1 pseudogene, with no coding region annotated. Lineage: Eukaryota; Metazoa; Chordata; Mammalia; Primates; Cebidae. The record is from RefSeq and is a predicted model, not a curated record. The transcript has a single exon.